AAAUUGAAGAGUUUGAUCAUGGCUCAGAUUGAACGCUGGCGGCAGGCCUAACACAUGCAAGUCGAACGGUAACAGGAAACAGCUUGCUGUUUCGCUGACGAGUGGCGGACGGGUGAGUAAUGUCUGGGAAACUGCCUGAUGGAGGGGGAUAACUACUGGAAACGGUAGCUAAUACCGCAUAACGUCGCAAGACCAAAGAGGGGGACCUUCGGGCCUCUUGCCAUCGGAUGUGCCCAGAUGGGAUUAGCUUGUUGGUGGGGUAAAGGCUCACCAAGGCGACGAUCCCUAGCUGGUCUGAGAGGAUGACCAGCCACACUGGAACUGAGACACGGUCCAGACUCCUACGGGAGGCAGCAGUGGGGAAUAUUGCACAAUGGGCGCAAGCCUGAUGCAGCCAUGCCGCGUGUAUGAAGAAGGCCUUCGGGUUGUAAAGUACUUUCAGCGGGGAGGAAGGGAGUAAAGUUAAUACCUUUGCUCAUUGACGUUACCCGCAGAAGAAGCACCGGCUAACUCCGUGCCAGCAGCCGCGGUAAUACGGAGGGUGCAAGCGUUAAUCGGAAUUACUGGGCGUAAAGCGCACGCAGGCGGUUUGUUAAGUCAGAUGUGAAAUCCCCGGGCUCAACCUGGGAACUGCAUCUGAUACUGGCAAGCUUGAGUCUCGUAGAGGGGGGUAGAAUUCCAGGUGUAGCGGUGAAAUGCGUAGAGAUCUGGAGGAAUACCGGUGGCGAAGGCGGCCCCCUGGACGAAGACUGACGCUCAGGUGCGAAAGCGUGGGGAGCAAACAGGAUUAGAUACCCUGGUAGUCCACGCCGUAAACGAUGUCGACUUGGAGGUUGUGCCCUUGAGGCGUGGCUUCCGGAGCUAACGCGUUAAGUCGACCGCCUGGGGAGUACGGCCGCAAGGUUAAAACUCAAAUGAAUUGACGGGGGCCCGCACAAGCGGUGGAGCAUGUGGUUUAAUUCGAUGCAACGCGAAGAACCUUACCUGGUCUUGACAUCCACGGAAGUUUUCAGAGAUGAGAAUGUGCCUUCGGGAACCGUGAGACAGGUGCUGCAUGGCUGUCGUCAGCUCGUGUUGUGAAAUGUUGGGUUAAGUCCCGCAACGAGCGCAACCCUUAUCCUUUGUUGCCAGCGGUCCGGCCGGGAACUCAAAGGAGACUGCCAGUGAUAAACUGGAGGAAGGUGGGGAUGACGUCAAGUCAUCAUGGCCCUUACGACCAGGGCUACACACGUGCUACAAUGGCGCAUACAAAGAGAAGCGACCUCGCGAGAGCAAGCGGACCUCAUAAAGUGCGUCGUAGUCCGGAUUGGAGUCUGCAACUCGACUCCAUGAAGUCGGAAUCGCUAGUAAUCGUGGAUCAGAAUGCCACGGUGAAUACGUUCCCGGGCCUUGUACACACCGCCCGUCACACCAUGGGAGUGGGUUGCAAAAGAAGUAGGUAGCUUAACCUUCGGGAGGGCGCUUACCACUUUGUGAUUCAUGACUGGGGUGAAGUCGUAACAAGGUAACCGUAGGGGAACCUGCGGUUGGAUCACCUCCUUACCUUAAAGAAGC
RNAcentral lists this ribosomal RNA (1554 nucleotides) under Escherichia coli. Its description in RNAcentral is "bacterial SSU rRNA". It matches the Rfam family "Bacterial small subunit ribosomal RNA". The record is from RNAcentral. Lineage: Bacteria; Pseudomonadati; Pseudomonadota; Gammaproteobacteria; Enterobacterales; Enterobacteriaceae.